Molecule: non-coding RNA, 30 nt
Filed under: Rattus norvegicus (Norway rat)
Lineage: Eukaryota; Metazoa; Chordata; Mammalia; Rodentia; Muridae
Source: RNAcentral
UCAAAGUCAUUCAGAUUCUUUUUGGAGCCC